CUAAUGAGACUUUCUAUGCAACAAAGUGAGGUCAUUCUUUGUUGAUUUAUACCAUAAGGUGCUGGCUAUCAUGUGUUUGAAGAUACCCUAAACUUAACCUAACCUAACCUAACAAAACCCCAAACAGUCACUAUAGGUCUUGACUCAGAAAAUUCAUAUAUGUUUCCUUACUAAUGAGACUUUCUAUACAACAAAGUGAGGUCAUUCUUUGUUGAUUUAUACCAUAAGGUGCUGGCUAUCAUGUGUUUGAAGAUACCCUAAACUUAACCUAACUUAACCUAACAAAACCCCAAACAGUCACUAUAGGUCUUGACUCAGAAAAUUCAUAUAUGCUUCCUUACUAAUGAGACUUUCUAUACAACAAAGUGAGGUCAUUCUUUGUUGAUUUAUACCAUAAGGUGCUGGCUAUCAUGUGUUUGAAGAUACCCUAAACUUAACCUAACCUAACCUAACAAAACCCCAAACAGUCACUAUAGGUCUUGACUCAGAAAAUUCAUAUAUGCUUCCUUACUAAUGAGACUUUCUAUACAACAAAGUGAGGUCAUUCUUUGUUGAUUUAUACCAUAAGGUGCUGGCUAUCAUGUGUUUGAAGAUACCCUAAACUUAACCUAACUUAACCUAACAAAACCCCAAACAGUCACUAUAGGUCUUGACUCAGAAAAUUCAUAUAUGCUUCCUUACUAAUGAGACUUUCUAUACAACAAAGUGAGGUCAUUCUUUGUUGAUUUAUACCAUAAGGUGCUGGCUAUCAUGUGUUUGAAGAUACCCUAAACUUAACCUAACAAAACCCCAAACAGUCACUAUAGGUCUUGACUCAGAAAAUUCAUAUAUGCUUCCUUACUAAUGAGACUUUCUAUACAACAAAGUGAGGUCAUUCUUUGUUGAUUUAUACCAUAAGGUGCUGGCUAUCAUGUGUUUGAAGAUACCCUAAACUUAACCUAACCUAACCUAACAAAACCCCAAACAGUCACUAUAGGUCUUGACUCAGAAAAUUCAUAUAUGUUUCCUUACUAAUGAGACUUUCUAUGCAACAAAGUGAGGUCAUUCUUUGUUGAUUUAUACCAUAAGGCGCUGGCUAUCAUGUGUUUGAAGAUACCCUAAACUUAACCUAACCUAACCUAACAAAACCCCAAACAGUCACUAUAGGUCUUGACUCAGAAAAUUCAUAUAUGUUUCCUUACUAAUGAGACUUUCUAUACAACAAAGUGAGGUCAUUCUUUGUUGAUUUAUACCAUAAGGUGCUGGCUAUCAUGUGUUUGAAGAUACCCUAAACUUAACCUAACAAAACCCCAAACAGUCACUAUAGGUCUUGACUCAGAAAAUUCAUAUAUGCUUCCUUACUAAUGAGACUUUCUAUACAACAAAGUGAGGUCAUUCUUUGUUGAUUUAUACCAUAAGGUGCUGGCUAUCAUGUGUUUGACGAUAACCUAAACUUAACCUAACCUAACCUAACAAAACCCCAAACAGUCACUAUAGGUCUUGACUCAGAAAAUUCAUAUAUGCUUCCUUACUAAUGAGACUUUCUAUGCAACAAAGUGAGGUCAUUCUUUGUUGAUUUAUACCAUAAGGUGCUGGCUAUUAUGUGUUUGAAGAUACCCUAAACUUAACCUAACCUAACCUAACAAAACCCCAAACAGUCACUAUAGGUCUUGACUCAGAAAAUUCAUAUAUGCUUCCUUACUAAUGAGACUUUCUAUACUACAAAGUGAGGUCAUUCUUUGUUGAUUUAUACCAUAAGGGGCUGGCUAUCAUGUGUUUGAAGAUACCCUAAACUUAACCUAACCUAACCUAACAAAACCCCAAACAGUCACUAUAGGUCUUGACUCAGAAAAUUCAUAUAUGCUUCCUUACUAAUGAGACUUUCUAUACAACAAAGUGAGGUCAUUCUUUGUUGAUUUAUACCAUAAGGUGCUGGCUAUCAUGUGUUUGAAGAUACCCUAAACUUAACCUAACCUAACCUAACAAAAC
Molecule: long non-coding RNA, 1968 nt
Organism: Eriocheir sinensis (Chinese mitten crab)
Lineage: Eukaryota; Metazoa; Arthropoda; Malacostraca; Decapoda; Varunidae
Exons: 7
Source: RefSeq, a predicted model, not a curated record